CCCUUCUUAGCUCAGUCGGGAGAGCGCGUCGCUAGGAUUGGAUUUAUAAAGGCGAGAUUCUAUUGAGACGAGGUCAGUCGUUCAAAUCGACUAGAACUUG
Rhodocollybia butyracea is the source of this 100-nucleotide non-coding RNA. Lineage: Eukaryota; Fungi; Basidiomycota; Agaricomycetes; Agaricales; Omphalotaceae. The record is from the annotation of a GenBank genome assembly.